Molecule: ribosomal RNA, 253 nt
Filed under: uncultured bacterium
Lineage: Bacteria
Description: partial 16S ribosomal RNA
Rfam family: Archaeal small subunit ribosomal RNA
Source: RNAcentral
UACCAGCACCCCGAGUGGUCUGGCCGAUUAUUGGGCCUAAAGCAUCCGUAGCCGGUUUUACAAGUCCUCCGUUAAAUCCAGCUGCUUAACAGAUGGGCUGCGGAGGAUACUAUAAGACUAGGAGGCAGGAGAGGCAAGCGGUACUCAGUGGGUAGGGGUAAAAUCCGUUGAUCCAUUGAAGACCACCAGUGGCGAAGGCGGCUUGCCAGAAUGCGCUCGACGGUGAGGGAUGAAAGCUGGGGGAGCAAACCGG